CAAUAGCGUAUAUUAAAGUUGUUGCAGUUAAAAAGCUCGUAGUCGUAUUUCUAAAUUGAGCAUAUUGUCCGGGCGUAUUGCGUCUGUGUACAUUGUUGUCUCGAUUUAUCCUUGUGGAGAGCUGAUUUGGCCUUAAUCGGUUGAGUUAGGGAUCUGCAUCAUUUACUGUGAAAAAAUUAGAGUGUUUAAAGCAGGCAUUUGCUGUGAAUACAUUAGCAUGGAAUAAUAAGAUAGGACUUUGGUACUAUUUUGUUGGUUUGCAUACCAAGGUAAUGAUGAAUAGGGACAGUUGGGGGUAUUCAUAUUUAGUUGUCAGAGGUGAAAUUCUUGGAUUUACGAAAGAUGAACUUAUGCGAAAGCAUUUACCAAGGAUGUUUUCAUUGA
Molecule: ribosomal RNA, 384 nt
Filed under: uncultured eukaryote
Lineage: Eukaryota
Description: partial 18S ribosomal RNA
Rfam family: Eukaryotic small subunit ribosomal RNA
Source: RNAcentral